This 228-nucleotide ribosomal RNA is filed under the name uncultured bacterium. Its description in RNAcentral is "partial 16S ribosomal RNA". It matches the Rfam family "Bacterial small subunit ribosomal RNA", at positions 118 to 346 of the family's 1533-position model. The record is from RNAcentral.
UGAGCAAUCUGCCCUUCUCAUCGGAAUAAGCGUUGGAAACGACGUCUAAUGCCGAAUACGACCUCCUUUCGCAUGAUCGGAGGUGGAAAGCUCCGGCGGAGAAGGAUGAGCUCGCGGCCUAUCAGCUUGUUGGUGUGGUGAUGGCCUACCAAGGCGACGACGGGUAGCCGGCCUGAGAAGGCGACCGGCCACACUGGGACUGAGACACGGCCCAGACCUCCGUAGGGA